Molecule: long non-coding RNA, 26994 nt
Filed under: Ananas comosus (pineapple)
Lineage: Eukaryota; Viridiplantae; Streptophyta; Magnoliopsida; Poales; Bromeliaceae
Description: long non-coding RNA (ACOM_LNC006779)
Source: RNAcentral
GCGAUGGAACUUCGAUCAUACUCAAGGGGCCAACGAGAUAUCGCUGCAAGAUUGAAAUUGAAUGUAGAAGUUCAAGGACCUUCUUUCUACUAUCACAUUGGAGGACAAGACAUAUGCGAUUAGAUAGAGGAGGACUACCAACCAAUUAUUUAUAGUUGAAUCGCUCUACAAUAUUCUCGCAGAUGAGGAUUAGGGGACUCCAACACCAUCCUCAAUUUGGAGACUGAAAAUUUCAUAAAAAGUAAAUAUCUUUGUGUUGCUAGUGUUAAGGAAAAAGGUUUUUUUUUUUUUUUUUUUUUUUUUUAUUUUUUUUUUUUUUUUUUUUUUUUUUUACCGACUGUUUCUAGAGCAAAUGUCAAAGAAUUUGGUGGUUGUUAUCCCAGACUCAAAUUUGAAUCCUUAUUGAUUCACAUUUCCAGCUAAGUUUAUUUCAAAAAUGAAAUAAACGAAGCAGCUAGCGUGCUACCUAUCUCUCAAAAAAAAAAAAGGUUUUUUUUUUUCCCCUACGUACUUUCCCCUAUCUCUCAAAAAAAAAAAAAAUUUUUUUUUUUCCCUACGUACUUUCCUCUAUCGCGAGGUCUAAUUGUCUCACCUCAUGUAGUUGAAUCCAUUCUUCUUUAUAAAUGAAACAGAUGAUUCGCUACUUUUUUUUCUCCAAAAAAAAAAAAAUUUGAAACGAGCAAAAAUACAAGAAUAAUUAAGGGCGGGGUAUAAAAUAAAAAUGUAAGAUGAAUAUUUGUAAUUUACGCAGAAUUUCCAUUCCAUUGCAUUAUUAAAUGCCGCGUUUAUUUUUGGUGGCAUGAGGAAGAACCAUCUCUCACGACAUAUUCUAUACUAAAACGGGAUAAAAUAUUAGUGCAAAUUAAUGUCCUAUAUUUUAAUUGAUCUUCGAGGCGAGUUUUGUACUAAAAAAUUUGUUUUUUUUUUUUCUAGUAAGACUUUUUGCGUGUGUAUAUUUUAUGUUAUCCAAAUUCUUAUAGAAUCUGUUGGAAAAUAAUUUUAUUUUUUUAAUAUAGAAAAAUAUGUUUAAAAUUUACGUUUUGAAAUAAUAUAUUCAAACAGUAAGCAGCAACUUGUAAUAAAAAUAUAUCUUGAAAUUUACGUUUGUUUGGUUGAAGAAAUCAGCCAAAAAUUGGCGAAAGGCGAAAAUGCUCCAUUUUUUUCAAAUUUGUAAAAAAUAGUUUUCCAAAAAAAUUUUACGGCUAAACUAGUGUCAAAAGAUUUCUAAAUUGACAAUUCUAACGUCUGAUGUGAUGUAUUUAUAAGUUUAAAGGUAUAAAAUAAUUCAAAUUAUAGUAUACUUUUGAUAGAAACUUUUGCAAUUAUUUAGAGCAAGUUCAGUAUCUCAGAGAUAUUAAAUCUUUUAUUAUUAUUUUUUAUGAAAUUUUUAUUUUCGACCAUCUAUUUAAGACUAUUCUUUCCCUACCGUUGAGCCAAUUCGGCGCGAAUAGCUGGCACGAUGGGUCCAUACCAGUACAGCGGUUUCAGCGGUGCACCGGGAGUACAAUAGGGGCACCAGAAGAAAAACGAACCGCACCAAAAUUGAGGGAGUUAUAGCAACCGCAAGCAGUUAUAGGCAGUCCUGAUCGGCCGAAGGUGGUCCAAAAUAACAGGAGAUAAUGGUUGAUCGUGCAAGGGUUAUAACCAACUCAGGGACGACUCUAUAAAUAGGCUCAUAUUACCCUAAAAAAGAGUUUUUUUUCCCUGCGAACAAAAGACCACCUUUAUUUUACCGCAUCUUUCUUCUCUGCAUUUGCCGUUUUUUCUAGGAAUAGCUUGGUAACUUAAGAUCUUGGAGUCUGUCUGCCCCCCUGGGCAUCACUCCGUUGUAGACUAAAACCCAUCUCCCUGUACUUUCCUUCGUUUUAUUUAAUAGAAAGUUAUUUUCGGCUCUUUAGGCUGACAAGAUCUCGUGUUGUUUUGGCCAUUCGGCUCUUCUCUCGGCCCAGUUUCUGACCUGUUUCAAGUAUUCGGCUCAUCCCAGCCGAGCCGAAUCUACUGUAGAGGUUUUCGAAUCCGACUGAUCCGAUCCCUCAUCAACCGAAUUGCUUGAUCUGUCGAAGGGCGCACACUUCGAGAGUCAUCGUUCGCAACCGCUCAUCACUCCGACGCACUCCCCGAGAAAGAUAUUUGACCGGGUCAAGGGGUCGGGAAGAUUCGGCUACUAACACCUACAUAUUGAAAAAUUAUAAAAGUUGGUUUCCAAAUACUUCUAAUAAUCUUUAUCAUACAUAAAGAGGCUGAUCUUCGAUUUGAUAUCGCAUUUUUCAAAAUAAUUUGAUAGUACAGGAGCCUCUAAGCAGGAGACGAGCAUGGUAAAAUUAUAGGCUAAAUUACAUAAAAUCCUCCUGUCAAAAUCCGAUUUCUCACUUUCCUUCCCUAUCAUUUAAAAACCUACAUUUUAAUUACCCCUAACAGUAGGGGUGAAGUGCAUAUUUUUUAUUUUACAAGAGGGCAAAGUGUAGGUUUUUAAAUGACAGAGGAAAAAAUAAAAAAUCGGAUUUUGACAGAAAAGUUUUCUGUAAUUUAGCCUAAAUUAUAACUGCAAUUUUCCUAAUAUUGUAUGUUCGUUAAUAUAUAGAGACUGCAAAGGUAACGAAUUACAAUGUUAAGUCAUUAUAUUACAUAUAUAUAUAUAUAUAUAUAUAUAUAUAUAUAUAUAUAUAUUCAGAGUAAAUUUUAUUUUUUGUUCGAGCAAACAAUAUAAAUUAUGAUUCAAUAUAAUAUAUCUGCUUUGGCAAUAUCAAAAAAUAUUCAAUCUGGAUACAUCCAAAUCCCAAGUCAAAUGUUACGUAAUUGCAGCAUGGGGUAGAAGAUUUUAACUCGUCACAGUGCGGUUACGGGUUGUUUGAUUUUCGGAAAAAACUCUCAAAUAAUUGUCGUGACGGAAAAAUAUUUUCCAUCCAUUUACUUUCCAAGAAAUAGCAGUUGGGUCGGUGACAGAUUUGGACAUAAUUUCACCUGCCAUAGUUAAGCCUUCUUCUACAAUUCUAACUACAUCAACUAAAUUUAAAUAUAUCAAAUCAAGAGUAGGGCUUCUAUACUGUUAUGAGUACAGAGCUCUUUAUACUCAUAAGUUGUUUUCGAUGUUAGGGUUUUCGAAUUGACGAUCCACACCGUUAAACAUGAUCUAGAGUUUUUAAAACUUAUAGAAAAUAAAUUUUGUAAUUUUUCAAAAUCAUUAUAAAAUCCAUCAAGCGGGUAUAAAAUGAACGGUCAGAAUCGAACGACAUCAUAAAAAUGAAUGCUUGGAUUCUUCAAUUUAAGAUUGGAGUUAUUGAUCAUUAUUUAGGUAGUGAAUAGAAUUUUCUAUCAAAAAUUCAAACUAUUCCAACUCUUUUACAUCGUUAAACUAGCAAAUAUCCCACACCAGCCGUUAAAAUUUGUCAAUUUUGUGAGCUUUUGAUUGUAAGGUAAAUGAUAUCGAAAAAUUAUAAAAUUUGAUUUCUAGAAGUUUUAAAUACUUUAGAUAAUAUUUAACGGUAUGGAUCGUCGAUUCGAAAGCUCUAUCAUAAAAAACGACUUAUGAGUACGAAGGCGAUCGUACUCAUAAGAGUAUAUUAGCCGGACUCUCAAAUCAAACACUAUAUAUUGGAAUAUAUAUACAAUUACAUUAGUAUACAGUUACGGUUGCAUGUAGCCAUUCAAUUCUGUAAAAUAGGUAAAAAUAUAUAGAAUUUAUCUCAACUAUCAUGCACUUUUGGAUCUGACUAUCUAACCUUUAGAAAUUUUGAUUGUACUAUCUGACCUUUUAAUUUAUUUAAUUUCAGUCGAUUAAUAAUUUUUUAACGUCAAAAUUUGAUUGCGAUGUUUUUCUUUACAAAUUUAGUUAGUAUAUUUUAUGCAAGUAACAUAAUUAUAAAUUUAUUAAAAUAAGCAAUUAUUUUAAUUUUUAUAUCUGAAGAGCCAUCAAAUUACUUAAAUCAAACAACUUUAAAAGUUUGGUACAAAGAUUAAAAUUUUAGAAGAUUAGGUAGCUGAAUCCAAAUGGUUGAUAUCUCAAGUAAGUUUUAUCUACAAAAUAUAAAAAAUUAUACUUGUACUUUCCAAAAAAGGUAUGGAUAUUACUAGAGAUGUCAAUGAGUCAGAUUCGAGAAAAAUUUUCAAAAAUUUCAAUCCGAACCCGAUUACCAAAUCCGAAACACGAACCCAAACCCGAACCAGAAUCCAAAAAUCCGAAUUCGAAAUAACUAUUUUUCUUUACCAUAUUUCAAAAUAUAUUAUAUUAAAUCUAAAUUUUUAAAAUACAAAUUCAAAUAUAACGUUAAAUAUAUAUAUAUAUAUAUAUAUAUAUAGAGAGAGAGAGAGAGAGAGAGAGAGAGAGUAGGGCUACUAUACUCCUAUCAAUAUAGAGCCCUUUGUACUCAUAAGUUAUUUUUAAUGAUAGAACUUUCGAAUCAACGAUCCACAUUAUUAAAUAUAAUCUAAAGUAUUUAAAAUUUUUUGAAAAUAAAUUUCGUAAUUUAUGGAAAUCAUAAUAAAGCCCAUCAAGCGGGCAUAAAAUGAAUGGUCAAAAUCGAACGACUUUAUAAAAAUAGAUGAUCGGAUCUUUUAAUUUAAAAUUAGAGUUAUUGAUUUUUAUCUGAAUAAUGAAUAAAAUUUUCUAUCAAAAAUUCAACCGAUUCCGAUUCUUUUAUACUGUUAAACUAGCAAGUAUCUUAUACUGACCGUUAAAAAUCAUCAAUUUUAAGAUCUUUCGAUCUUAAGAUAAAUGAUAGUAACAAUUUAUAAAAUUUAAUUUUUAGAAGUUUUAAAUGCUCUAAAUCAUAUUUAACGAUAUGGAUCGUCGAUUCAGAAGUUCCUUCAUCAAAAAUAACAUAUGAGUACAAAGGUGAUCGUAUUCAUAAGGUAAUGUUUAAUGGCAUAGUCGUCAAUUCAGAAGCUCCAUUAUCCAAAACAACUUAUGAGUACGAAGAAGCCUAUAUUAAUAACAAUAGUAGCCCUAGAGAGAGAGUUUACCCUUAUAUGUUUUUUAAAGGUAUUAAGUCAUUGGUGCUGAUAAGUUUCACCUAUUGAAUUAAGAGAUGUGUGGAUAGGAUGAUAGUGGUCCUUCGGAGUUGAGUAGGUGGUUGGUUAAAUAGUAUGAUUUAAUGGUUGGAAAUGAUUAAAGGAGUAGAUUUAAUGGCGAAAAACUUACAACCACCAAGUGCUUCGUGCUUUUAUAAGUACCAUAGCCAGACUACAUAUAGAGAGAGAGUAGAGUUACUAUACUUUCGGAAGUAUAAAGGAGUUGGUGACUUUUUGGUCCUUAGGUCAAGAAUUGUACAAUUAGGAUGAUAAUAGUCCUCCCUAGGGUUGAGCGGUCCCCAUAGGAUAAUAAUAUUAAUUUAAAUGUUAGAAAUAUUCAAAGAGGUUGAUCCAAGGGCCAAAAAGUCUAAAGAACUAAGUCCUUUAUGCUUAUAUAAGUAUGAACUAGGCUGGAAUGCUAUCAAUAGCACCAAACACUUGGUGCUACCAAGUUUUCCGCCCUUGGAUGAAGAAAUGUAUGGUUAGGAUGAUGUGAGCCCCCUAGGGUUGAGUAAGUUGUUGGUUGAAUAGUAUAAUCUAACGGAUGAAAAUAGUCAAAGGGUUAAAUCAAACGGCGGAAAACUUGGUAGCACCAAGUGCUUGGUGCUAUCAAUAGUAUCCCAGCCGGACUCUAUAAGUAUAGCAACUGUACUAUAUAUAUAUACAUAGAGCUAGGCUGGAAUACUAUUGAUAGCAAAAGGUCAUUUUUGCUAUCAAAUUUUUAACCCUUGAAUGAAAAAUUAUAAGGUUAGGAUGAUAUUAGUCCCUUAGGGUUUAGUUGCAGAUAUAUCCCUGCAAAGCUCAACUUUCAUAAGUUAGAAUAGUUUUAGAAGCACCAACCAAUUGGUGCUUCUAGGUUUCUAGCCCUUGGAUCUACUCCUUAAUUACUAAUAACCUUUAGAUCAAACACUAUUCCACCUAUCACCACCUACCACCAUGAUCUCAACCCUAUAUCUCUCCAUCUAAUGGCUAAAAACUUAAAAGCACCACUCCCUUGGUGCUUUUGGAAGUAUUAUAGCUCAACUCUAUAUAUAUAGAGAGAGAGAGAGAGAGAGAGUCCGGCUGGGAUACUAUCGAUAGCACGAAGCAUUUGGUGCCAUCAAGUUUUCUGCCGUUAGAUUUACCUCUUUUAUCAUUUUCAUCCAUUCGAUUAUACUANUGGGGGGCAACGGAGCCCGUUUGCUACCGAUAGCAUUCCAGCUCAACUCUCUCUCACUCUCUAUAUAUAUAUAGAGAGAGAGAGAGAGAGAGAGAGUCCGGCUGGGAUACUAUCGAUAGCACGAAGCAUUUGGUGCCAUCAAGUUUUCUGCUGUUAGAUUUACCUCUUUUAUCAUUUUCAUCAAUUCGAUUAUACUAUUCAACCAACCACCCACUCAACCCUAGGGGGCCCACAUCAUCAUAACUGUACAUCUUUUAAUCCAAGAGCAGAAAACUUAAUAGCACCAAGUCAUUGGUGCUAUUAAUUGUGACACCCCAAUAGUCCCACAUCGGAUGGGAAGGGGUUGUCAUUGGGUUUAUAAGAGACUUAGACACUAGUAAUAAUAACUGGGCUUAAGCAUUUUGGGCUGUUGACUGGGCCCAACGAGUUAUUAUUGCUAGUGGGCUGGGUCGUUACAUUUGGUAUCAGAGCCGGUUCACCAGCUGGACAUGUGUGGCGAGUCUCGGCUGAGCCAGGGUCUGGAUGACGGGCUAGCGAGACGAGUCUCACAUCGCCUGGUGAUCUUGGGCUGUGUGUGUGUGAGGACUGACGAGGACGUCAGGGCCUUAACGGGGGGAGUCUGUGACACCCCAAUAGUCCCACAUCGGAUGGGAAGGGGUUGUCAUUGGGUUUAUAAGAGACUUAGACACUAGUAAUAAUAACUGGGCUUAAGCAUUUUGGGCCGGUGUUUGGGCCCAACGAGUUAUUAUUGCUAGUGGGCUCGGUCGUUACAUUUAGUAUCAGAGCCGGUUCACCAGCUGGACAUGUGUGGCGAGUCUCGGCUGAGCCAGGGUCUGGAUGACGGGCUAGCGAGACGAGUCUCACAUCGCCUGGUGAUCUUGGGCUGUGUGUGUGUGAGGACUGACGAGGACGUCAGGGCCUUAACGGGAGGAAUCUGUGACACCCCAAUAGUCCCACAUCGGAUGGGAAGGGGUUGUCAUUGGGUUUAUAAGAGACUUAGACACUAGUAAUAAUAACUGGGCUUAAGCAUUUUGGGCUGUUGACUGGGCCCAACGAGUUAUUAUUGCUAGUGGGAUGGGUCGUUACAUUAAUAGUAUUCCAGCCUAGUUCUAUAUAUAUAUAUAUAUAUAUAGAGAGAGAGAGAGAGAGAGAGAGAGAGAGAGAGAGAGAGAGUUGAGCUAGGGUACUUUUAGAAGCACCACCCACUUGGUGCUAAGUUUCUAACCUUGGAUCCACUCCAUAAUUACUAAUAUUCCUUGGAUCAAACACUAUUCCACCUACCACCACCUACCACCAUCAUCUCAACCUCACAUCUCUCCAUCCAAGGGCUAAAAACUCUAAAGCACCACCCACUUGGUGCUUUUCGGAGUAUUCUAGCUACACUAUAUAUAUAUAUAUAUAUAUAUAUAUAUAUAUAUAUAUAUAUAUAUAUAUAUAUAUAUAUAUAUAUUUGUAUUUAAAAAGUAUCGAAGCAAAAAAAUAAAUAUAUAUUGAGAUGGCCCGUAUAUCUAGCCACCCACCCGCGAAUGGAUAUAAGUGAAAAUAUUGAUAAUCCAAAAAUUUAUAAAAAAAUUUUAUCUAAUCUAUAGAUAUAUUAAAUCGUGAGUUUUACUGUACAUGACGUGUCGUCGGGCCCGUCUCUUCCGUUCCCUCUCGCGCGCCUUCAAUCCCUUCCCUCUCUCCCACCCACGAUUCCCUCUCUCUCUCUCACCCCCGAUUCCUGCCCCCUCUGGAUCCGCAAAGCCCGCAAGGUGCAGACACGCACUAUGCCUCCCGCACCUCUCUCCCUGCCUCCUUCCCCUGUCGCCCAGCAGGGCGUGGAGGUCCUGCAGAUCCGCGUCGCGACCCGUGCCUACGCUCGCUUGAGCCGCUCGCCCGCGCCGCACUGCCAUGUGUGCGCGACCCACGCCCGGCGCCGCUCGCGCCCCUAGCGCGCUGCCCCUUCUACAUCUGCAGAUCCUGCAGAUCUCUCUCUCCCCGAUCCCACCUCUCAUCUCUCUCCGAUCUUUUUUCGAUCUGCGAGGAUCUUCUUCUCUUCCUCCCCCUCGCCAUCACGCGAUCGAUCGGAGGAGCUCGCAGGCCCAUCGCGUCCUUUCCCUAGCGUUCGCGCCCUGUUCGACGAAAUGCCGAGGCGACUGUAGGGCGCUUCGCGGGCAUNCGAGAGUAUUCUAGCUCAACUCUAUAUAUAUAUAUAUAUAUAUAUAUAUAUAUAUAUAUAUAUUUGUAUUUAAAAAUUAUCGAAGCAAAAAAAUAAAUAUAUAUUGAGAUGGCCCGUAUAUCUAGCCACCCACCCGCGAAUGGAUAUAAGUGAAAAUAUUGAUAAUCCAAAAAUUUAUAAAAAAAUUUUAUCUAAUCUAUAGAUAUAUUACACCUUGAAAUGGACUGUGGCUUACGUGUAGUCCGCCCCGUCUCUUCCGUUCCCUCCCGCGCGCCUUCGAUCCCUUCCCUCUCUCCCACCCACGAUUCCCUCUCUCUCUCACCCCCGAUUCCUGCCCUCUCUGGAUCCGCAAAGCCCGCAAGGUGCAGAUAGUUGUCGCACUAUGCCUCCCGCGCCCCUAUCCCCCCCUCCUUCCCCUGUCGCCCCGCAGGGCGUGGAGGUCCUGCAGAUCCGCGUCGCGACCCGUGCCUACGCUCGCUUGAGCCGCUCGCCCGCGCCGCACUGCCAUGUGCGCGCGACCCACGCCCGACGCCGCUCGCGCCCCUAGCGCGCUGCCCCUUCUACAUCUGCAGAUCCUGCAGAUCUCUCUCUCCCCGAUCCCACCUCUCAUCUCCCUCCGAUCUUUUUUCGAUCUGCGAGGAUCUUCUUCUCUUCUUCCCCCUCGCCAUCACGCGAUCGAUCGGAGGAGCUCGCAGGCCCCCGCGUCCUUUCCCUAGCGUUUGCGCCCUGUUCGACGAAAUGCCGAGGCGACUGUAGGGCGCUUCGCGGGCAUCGGAGAGGUGGGGCGCGGCGCUGGGGAUGGUGGUAAAUGUUAUUCCUUUACAUAUAUAUGUCUGAUCAUGUAAAUAGAGGUAUAAACUAGCAAUUCAAUGUUUAAAAUAGCUAAAUGAUUUUUGUUUUGUCUUAAAAUUUUCAUUAUGACGUCAUGAAUUUGGCCUACAUAGUGAAGUCAGUAUAAGCUAAACCUCUUGAAGCUUCAAGAUCAGAGAAUUUUAGAAGUCAUUAAUGUUUAGCUGACAAAUAUAAUUUUGCUAUUUAGAUGAAUUGUUAUGCUCAUUUGAUUAUCUAAUUGUAAUGUGUUAUAACAGUUCCGUAGUUUCCAAAAUUUUAGCCCAAAAACUAGUAGGACUAUUAUUUCCAAAUUUAGAUUUAAGGUCAUUUCUUCAAAUUGCUCUCCACUUCUAAGUUCAUAGCUUUCGCGGUAAGAAGAAACUGUUAUCUCCAAAUAUGUUGAAGUUUGAUCCCUAUAUUUGCAUUUUUUUAUAUUUGUAAAAUUACUUUAGAUGAAAUGACUGAAAUGAAUUUGAAACUGCCAGAAGAAUAAAUAUUCGAACUUCACUGAAAUCAACUUUCAUUUAUGAAAUUGGAAUUGCAACCUUGGAUACCAUUUUAAUAUGCAAGAGUUGAAUAGUUGCCAAGUUGCUUAAGGUAAAAUUUUAUUCUGCUCUAUUAAAUUUUUUCAUCACUAACAUAGUUUCGCUUCUGUUACUAUAACACUUUAGCCUCUUUCAGUUGCCUAUUAAUCAUCCAUCUUUUAGGAUCUUCUGCUCCUAACUAUAGCUCAAAUAUUAAGUUGUUUGGAUUUCUAUCGAAUGCCCCUCUGCUCCAAGUAGAAGAGGGGGCUUUUAUAAGGAGCAGAAGAGGGGACUUUCUCUUGUAACUUAGCCUGUAUUAGAAGUCAAUAAGAAUAACUCUUUUUCGUUAAAUAAAAUGAUCAUUGAUUAUAAAAGAAGAGAGCCUCUUAUUUAUGGGCCCAGAAUCAAUACAAUAGUUCUAAUAUGAUUACCAAACCCAAUAGAAAAACCAAAUAAGAAUUGGGUUGAUCAUAACACCAUUCCGAUAUUAGAACUGUAGCAUGGGCAUCAUAGACAUUAAUUCUUCCUUAUUUGUUGAUCAUUGGCUUGUUUUGUCCUGAGAUUUUGCAAACAUACACACCAAGUAUGUAUAUUCGCCAAACCCAUUAAAGUUAUUAUUUGCACGACUGUUCCUCAAGGUCCUGUUUCCGUAUGUUUAUCUCUACUAUAGUUUGCUUACCGGUAGUUACUGACUGUUGUUAAUACCUAACUAUCAUUAGCACAUUAAAUUUUUUUGUCCCUCCUCUGAGCUACAUUUUUCAUCGUGGGGCAGCACUUUCCCCAAUUCAACCUCACCACUCAACCAACUCGAUUAAGCAGGUGUUGUGUAAUUCUCCUCUCUGUCAAUUGUACUUGAUUUUGUUUUUAUUUAAGAAUCAUUAAUUUUGUUUGCAGUAGUCACUUGUGCUUUAGUAAGCAAUUCUUUUCCUUUCCAAUCCUCUGUUGAGCCCAUUUAAGAUUUAGCAAGAUAUCGAGUAGGCAACAGCACAAUCGGCAAUUGAGAAAGAGUAAUGCACUGCAUGAUCCAUCUAAAUGUUAGUCGAGACUUUAAUGAUCAAUAAAUUGUUACAAUUUCUUCAGCAUUGGUUGAAUAGUAUGAUCUAAAGAGUGAAAAUGGUAAAAAAAAAAGAGUAAAUCUAACGACAGAAAACUUAAUAGCAACAAGCGUUUGGUGUCAUUGGUAGCAUAAUAACCGAACUAUUAGAUGAAGGAAUGCGUAGUUUAGAAUAUUAUUAAUCGCACCAAGUUACUGAUGCUAUUAGGUUUUUGGCUCUUAGAUGAAGGGAUGUGCAUUAGAAUGAUAGUGGUCCUCUAGGGACGUGGGUGAUUGGUGGAAUAGUGUGAUUUAAAGGAUGAAAAUGGAAUACCUUUCAGUAAUAUUUGGCACAUUAGAAACGUUAGAUAUAAUAAUAACAUUGACAUACUUAUGAUCAUGUGAGGAGGUUCUUACUAGAUUGGUAUUGACAGUAGGUUGAGCUAUGCUUAGAUGCUUUCCAUUUUCUACUGUACGAGAUUUUAUGGUUGUUGUCUUGAUCAUGCAUAUGCAUAAUAUAUAUGAUAUGCGCAAAAGAUUCUAGAGGCAAUGACAUGUGGAAAUUCUACUAAGUGGUAGCCGGACAUAAUAGAUAGUGAGGUAGCAUGCUGCCUUUCUCAUUUUUUCUUUUUUCUUAUUUUAUUUUAUUUUAUGUUAUUUUAUUUUAUUUUAUUUUUUGCGCCCUUCCCGAGGCCCGCGAUGCCUCACCCAUGUAGCUUAGUUCACUUCUUCAAUGAAUAAAGCAGGUAGCAUGCUACCUUUCUCUCAAAAAAAAGAAAAAAGAAAAAAAAAAGAUAGUGAGGUAUAUGUGAUUGUUGGAAAGAACAUUGCAUAUAUUUUUUACACAAUUGUUCUACUAAUCUCCGACUUUUUCACCCUCAGGCUCUUUGGAAUUAUUUUUUCGGGCGUUUGAUUUUUCUCGCUUUUGACCUUCCAUGUGUGAAAAUAUUUCUUAUACUUUUCUUCUACCAUUUUUUCCAGUUUGCUGCCCUAUAUCUUGUAGGAUGGGUAUACUUUUAUUUGUUGUAUGUUUAUUGCACUUCUAUUGUUUUUGUUUUCGCCUUUCACUCCUAAUGAUUUUGAUUCUGGUUUAUACUUCUUUAUUUGCUACCUCUAUUGUACAACUUCGUUAACUACUGCUACUGCUACUCUUUCUUGGUUACAAGUUUUCUUCAUGUCUAACUAUUUGUGGCUAAAAAGGUGAAGAAGUACAUGAGCCCUGUAUUUGGAACAAGUGGAAGUUUGGACGGCCUGCUCAUAGGCAACCAUUUCUUGUUGUUCUUAUACUUGGUGUCUACUUCUCAUGUUAUUGUCUUUUUUCAUUACGCCUAUAUUUUCUUUGAGUUAUUUAUUUAUUCUUUUAUUUUCUUUCACAUUCUAUCUCUUCUCAUGUUACUUUUAAAUGGCGAUGGUUGUUUGCAAUAACGUAUGUUUGGUUAUGAAGAGAAAAGAUAUAUGGGGCUUUUCCUGUGUGGUCUUUAUUUGUUCCUGUAAAAGAGAGGUUCAGCCCCAUGGUUUAAUGGAAUAACGGAAAAGAAAAUUGAUAAAGAACCAUUUAUUUGGCUCCUAGAAUUGUUGGAAAUGAAUACAUUGUAUAAUUUUAAAUACCUGUAUCUUUUAUAUGUAGUCGAUCUUCUAUUAUGUAAAGAAAAUAGUGAUUUUACUUAGAUAUUGCUCUUCCUAAUUUGAGCUCAUGUCGAACUUAGAAUUCUGCUAGGCAAUUCAUAAUACAGCCAGGCAAUUCAGGGGAGUCAUGCAAAAGGAGUUUCAUGCAAUUUUUAUGUAUUUCCGUCAUUCUCUAUGUUUUUGUUGGGUGUUUAUUUCUUCAUUUGCUUUACCAUCUAUGUCUGUUACUUCCCUCUAAGUUUUAUUGCUUUUUUGUUUGCUUACUUAUUUUUUUGCACACUAUUUUUUCUCUUCGACUUUUUCAUAUUGUAGGUCGUUUGAUUGUGUUGGCAAGGGGUCAAACUUUUGUUUGAUAGGAAACGGGAAAUUUGUGGUCAAAUUUUUGUUGGUGUUCAUUUUGAAAAGGGCCUAUUAUAUAGAAUUCUAAACUUUGAAAAUUCUGACUGAAUUCUAGAAGGCCGUUGGUGCAAUUCUGAAUUCUUAAUUUGAACCUUUUAUAUGCAUCAAAAAACUUGAUGCAGUUCAAAUCUGAAUUCUGAAUUCUAAACUUUUAUAUGCAUCGAAUAUCUUGGUUCAAUUCAGAAUUCCGAAUUCUGAAUUCUGGAUCCAGAAUUCAGAUAUGCAAUUCAGAAUUCAUCUAAGCAAUUCGGGCUGCCGUGAGGAAGGUGAGGUAGUUGCUCUUGAAUGUUCCCAUGCUAUGAUCAUCUUCGCCUAAAAUGUUAGAUAGUUAAAAACGGACAGAACCAUUUUGGUUGGUGAUGGGUGUACUUUGGACGGCCUACUCCGUAGGCAACUAGUCACUCUUAUCUGUGCUGGGAAUACUUUCAAUGUGCAUGUGGCUCCUCAGUCAGUUAGCAGUAAUAAUGUUUGAUGACUUGGGGAGUCUGAGCAAAGUAUAUUUAUAUUCACUAUAUUCUUCGUGGUAUUUCGAAUUGCCUAGCUGAAUUCUGAAUUGCCUAGUUGAAAUCUAAAUUAUCUAGCUGAAUUCUGGUGUGUGAAAAUGGCAUAAAACUCCUUUUACAUGCCUCCCCUGAAUUGUCUGGCUGAAUUCUGAAUUGCCUAGCAGUAAUUUGAAGUCAGAAUUGAGGAUCCUAAAUUGCAUCGAUUAACCCGAACAUUUUUGCAAAUUCCACCCUUUGCUUUGGUUAACUGGUGGAGCUUCUAUGCAUGCAAGUUUUUGCAGGAAUCUAACUGGGCUUACUAUACUCUAUACCUGCAAAUAUGGGAGCAUUAGUUUUUGCCCAGCUUGCUGUCAAAUCAACCUUAUUUGCUUUUGCUUUGUAUCUUAGAUAGAAAGUUUUAGCUUCUCAUAAAAUUUUUAUAAGCCUAAUUUUUUUUAUCGUUUAAUAUAAUUUGUUGUUGCCUUCUUGCAAACAACCGGUGGCUCCCAUUUGUGCUAGGAAUAGUUAUAUAUAUCGGUUUCAAAUCAAUAUUUGAUAAAUAGGGGAGCUUGGGUGAAGUUUUUUAUGUUGCCUAUUAGAUUUGUUCUUCCAUGAAGAAAGUGAGGCAGCAGCUCUUGAAUGUUCCCAUACUAUGAUGAUCUUCCCCUUAAAUGUCAGAUGUUUGCAAUAAUCAAGAGCGGACUCUUGAAUGUUCCCAUGCUAUGAUGAUCUUCCCCUUAAAUGUCAGAUGUUUGCGAUAAUCAAGAGCGGACCGGAGUUUUUUCCCUUCCGAUGGGUGUACUUUGGAUAGCCUACUCCGUAGGCAACUGGUUACCCUUAUUUGUGCUAGGUAUACUUCCGGUUUGCAUGUGGGCCCUCACUCAGUUAGCAGUAUGGGUUCGACGCCAAUCUAAUAAUGUUCAAUGAUCUGGGGAGUCUGAGCAAAGUAUAUUUAUUUUUACAAUAUUGUUUAUGGAAUUCCAGAUUGCCUAGCUGAAUCCUGAAUUGCCUAGUUGAAUUCUGAAUUAUCUAGCUGAAUUCUGGUGUGUGAAAAAUGACAUAAAAAUCCUUUUGUUUGUCUUCUGUGAGUUGCCUAUCUGAAUUCUGAAUUGCCUAACAGUGAGCUGAAAUUGGAAUUGAGAAUUGUUAUGUGCACUCUAUAAUACCUUCUAUUUCAGCUCUUACUUCAAUAUUUAAUAUUAUUAUAACGAAAUUUCAUUAUGUAAAAUCUUGAUCUUUUAUUACAAAGUAUGAGACGGAAUGGUUCAAAUUACCCAAUCUUUACUUUGGUCAACUGUUAAAGCUUCUACAAAUGCAAGUUUUUGCAGGAAUCUCAUUGCGAUUGCUAUACUAUAUUUCUGCAAGCAUGGAAGUAUUAGUUUUUGCUCAGCUUACUGUCAAAAUAAUCUUAUUUAUGCAAGCAUGAAAGCAUUAGUUUUUGCUCAGCUUACUGUCAAAAUAACCUUAUUUGCUUUUGCUAUAUAUCUCAGAUAGAAAAAUAUAGUUUCUCAUAAAAUUUUUAUAGUCCUAAUUUGUUUUACCGUCUUCUAUAAUUUGCUGUUGUCUUCAAUUAUAUGGUUUGAUUCGGAUACUAUAUAUCUUGACUUUCGAGACUUUAUCUGGCCCUUUUUUGUGCAAUUGUUUUGUUUGUUUUAAUAUGAUUACCAUAAGCAACAUUUUAUAUGAAUUCGCAUUCUAAAUUGUAGAUUCUAAGGUCUAAAUUUUGAAUAUGAUUCUGAAUUCUCGAAAUUGUUUUGUGGGAGAGACCUAAUGUGAAUAGCCUUUUUCCGACAUCAUACACAAACACCUUUCCAAUAAGUUCAGAACUAUAGUAGCAAUGUAGCCUAUCAAUGACCAUCCUGCCUAACCCCUUACCCUCAACAGCUCAGUUAUUCUCAAAUUUGGCCGAAACAUGAAAAUAAGAAAUAAAUUGGCUAGGGGACUUUGAGCAAAAUAUAUUUAUUUUUCCUAUAUUCUUUAUGGAAUUUCGAAUUACCUAGCUGAAUUCCGGAUUGUCUAGCUGAACUCUAAAUUAUCUUCCUGAAUUCUGGAUUAGAAAUUCAGAAUUAAUUCAGAAUUCAAAUUUGCAGCGAGUUAUUCGAUGCAUAUAAAAGUUUAGAAUUCAGAAUUCAGAUCUGAACUGUAUCAAGAUAUUUGAUGCAUAUAAAAGGAUAGAAUUCAGAAUUCGGAAUUGCAUCAACGGUGUUCCAGAAUUUUGAAUUCUGAAUUUUGAAAGGUUAGAAUUACAUAAAAAAAAUUAGAAUUCAGCAGAACUUCAUAUUUAAUCUAAUAUUUCAAAUUUAGAAACUGAAAUUUAAAAUUUAAAAUUAUAAACUUUUAAAAUUUAGUUUUUUAGUAAUUAAGAUAAAAUAUAAAAUUUUUAAAUUUUAAGUUUUAAAUUUUAAAUUUCAAAUUUUAAUAUUUUAAAUAUUAAAUUAUAAAUUGAAUUUAAAAAAUUCAAAUAUUAAAUUUCAAAUAUUGAAAUUUCAAUUUCAUAUGUCAAAAUUUAAAUUUUAAACUUCAAUAUUUUAUAUUUUAAAUUUAAAUUUAAAUUUUGGAUAAUAAAAAUUUUAAAUUUUUAAUAUUUAAUUAUUUAUUUUGAUUUUGUUUAAAUUUUAUAAUCAACUUCAUUAAAUAAUAAUAUUGAAUAGUCUAUUUAAAAAAUUUUAGAAAUUACGUAAAUUUUUCGCCCCCAAGCGCGGCCUAUAUAUGUAAUUCCAGAGUCCGGCUACUAUGCUAUUAAUAGCACGAAGUACUUGGUACUACCAAGUUUUCCGCCGUUAGAUCUACCCUUUUGAUCAUUUUUACCCGUUAAAUUAUACUAUUCAACCAACCACCUACUCAACCCUAGAGAGCCCAUAUCAUCCUAAUCACACAUCUCUUAAACCAAUGACCAAAAACUUGGUAGCACUAAUGACUCAGUGCUAUUAAUAGCAUUUGAUUAUUCAAUUUGUACGUUUGUUAGGCCUACCUUGGACGCGCAAUUAAUAUUCGUAAAUGUACUAUCAUUGUUCUCCCUUCUCCAAUUAGUAGUACUACAUCUAGGUCGUCCAGGUCGUCGAGUGUACUUCCCCGUUCCUAGAAAAAACAAAGUACAUAUCCAAAGAGAGCACCCUCCUCCUCCUCCUCCUCCUCCUCCUCUCACGUAACUCCAUUAAAUUCCAAAACCAAGAAGAAGAAGAAGAAGAAAAAGGAGGAGGAGGAGGGAUUGUUGAUUACCUUUUCCUGCAGGCAUGGGAGACAUGGGAGACAUGGGGGACAUGGACAUGGGCAACCACACGCACGGCAGCGGUGCGCCGCCAUCGCCGAUGUCGAUGGGCGGCAUGAAGAUGAGCUACGUCCACAUGACCUUCUUCUGGGGCAAGAACUCCGAGAUCCUCUUCUCCGGCUGGCCGGGCGCCCGCAGCGGCAUGUACGCCCUCGCCCUCAUCGUCGUCUUCCUCCUCGCCGUCCUCGUCGAGUGGACCGCCCGCUACGACGUCGGCACCGCGGCGAGGCUGGUCAGGACCGCCGUGCACGCGCUGCGCGUCGGCCUCGCCUACCUGAUGAUGCUCGCCAUCAUGUCCUUCAACGGCGGCGUCUUCAUCGUCGCCGUCGCCGGCCACACCGUCGGCUUCCUGCUCUUCAGGAGCCGCCCGGCCUCACCCGCCGGCGAUCGCGGAGAGAAGGCAGCGGAUCUCUCUCCCAUGGCAUGCUAGCUGGCUUGAUGAUGAGUAUACGCUUCUUGAUUCUUGAAAGUGUGGUGUGUGUGUGUGUGUUUUUUUCUCUUUUUUUUUUGGGUUUCUUUUGGUGUGCAUGCAAUAAAUAUUUGAUGUAUGUCUAAUGCUUUGUUUCAUGCAUAGGUAAAUUGCACCACUAGUCCUCAGAACUUUUAAGCGCUUUUUGUUACUUAUAUUUACUAUUAGAGGAAAAAUUAUUAUCUCGAAAUGCAUCACGCAUCUAACCAGCCCUGAUUCCAUCUUAGAAAUCGCCUGUUGGAUUGAGAAUAUGAGAUGAAUGAAAGGUGUGCAACUGAACAGGAAUUAAUAGAGACAAUAGUUUUUUUGCUAAUUAAGGUAGGGACAAAAGUAAAACAUUGAUGAAUCUAAAAGAUCGGGAACUGAAAUAAAAUUUGACUAAAAGUUCAUGAACUAGUGGUGCAAUUUAUCCUUGUUUGAAGAUACUGCAGUAAAGUUCUCUUCGUAAUUGUGUGACCACAAUAAGGUGCAGUGAUGGACACAAAUCAAAUUCUAAGCAGAGCUUCUUACAGGAGUUAUCAUAAGAUUGGAUUGGAUUACCCUUCACCCAAUAUCUUAUUUCAACUUUAAUCAUAAAUCGAAAAUAUAGAAACAAUACUCUGAUUCCAUGAAGGAAAUCCAACUCCUCCUUAUGCUUCUUCUGAGCGGAGCUUUGUAUAAAAUUUUAUACCUGUUAUUCUUGUUGUGUGAGCUGAUCAACUAUAUAUACCUUAUGUUAUUUGUGGAGACUUAAUUUGGUAAUACCUAUAUUCAAGUGCAAAUGAAUAUGUACUCGUCUACUUUACGUACAUGCAUGAUUCUGAAAUAGCUCCUUUUAACUUUUCUUUUUGAUUUGCAUCUUCUGCAUCAAAGAUUGUUCAAACUUAGGCUCUUUCAUCAGAAAACAAGAGUAUUCCCGUUCAUCUUAACCGUCGAUGACCGGCGGCGGCGACGGAGGAAACGGAUAAAAUUAGUCUUCUGUUAAUUCCUCCAGUAAUAGUGAAGAACUGAGAAGUUAAUUGGAAGGUCAGGCUCCUCCUUUUUGUCUCUGUCACAGCCACAAAGAUAAGGUGUCAAUUUAUGAUUUUUGUUUUCUUUUUUUCCUUUUUUUUGGGGGGUCUUUCAAUUUGAAAUGAAUAUCGGCUUUCAGAAAGAUAACCCUAAUUCCUAUAUAAAUCAUUUCGAUUCGACUAUUCAAUCUUUUAAAAUUUUAAUUUUAACACUCAACAUUUUAAUUUGUUUGAGUUAAAUAAUAAGAUGGCUUUUCGGAUACAAAGUUUAAGCUAAUUACUUAUAUUAAUACAGUUAUAUUUACAUAAAUUGUGUAAAAUAAACUAAUUAAAUAUAUAAAAAUAAACGAUGCAUUCAGAUUUUUAAAGAGUCAUUAAUUAGCUUAAAUGAAAUAAAAUAAAAGAUAAUAUAGUAAAGUAAAAAAAUUUAUAAAAUUAGAUAGUCAAAUUCAAAUAUUUUUACCUUUAAAAAGUGAUGAGAAAAAUAGAAUGCAGAGUGUGGGAGGCAUGUUAGCUCUCAUAUUUCAUCCCUAGUCUAGCAUCAGGUCAUGUUGCCAUAUAUGGGCUAGAGUUAAUUAAUUAGCAUCCUACAGAAUAGAUUCUAUUAGUUUCAGCAGAAAAAGGCUCUGCCUAGUAUUUGAUCAGAGGACGAAAAAAAAAAAAAAAAAAAGUUAAAUUGUACCAUUAGAGCUGUCAAUCAGUGAGCCAGCUUACAUUCGACUCGAAAUUGGUUUGAACUCAGCUCGCUCGAUCAAUAAACAAGUCGAUCACCAGCUCACUUUUGAGAUGGAAAAAUUAAUGAACCAAACAUGAGGUGACCUCGGCUUGCUUAUAAUUGGCUUGACAGAGUUCAAAUAAAUAAAUAAAUAAAUAAUAUAUACAUAUUUAUUUUAGGUCGACACGUUGUAAAUUUUUUUUUGUCUUUUUAGUUUUUGUUUUUUUGUUAGCAUGACUCUUAGUUCUAAUAUUAAUUAGUAAUACUAAGAGCAAUAGUUAGUUUUAAUAUUUUAUUAAAAUUUAGUUAAAGCAAUUAAACUCAAAAAAUUUUGAGCUUCCUCAAAUUAAUUUCAAGCCAAAAACGAGCUUGAUUAUCCUAGCUUUUUUAAUUUCGAGUCGAAGAUGAACCGACUCAAAUUAAUUUUGAACAUGUUAAAGGAAAGGAUAAUUAUUUUCCAGACCAAUUAAGUAGAGGAUUUUUUGAAAAUACUAAUUAUGAAUUUAACAUAAUGAAUAUUAAUUAGUUUUAGAAAUAUAAAAAGAGUUUUAGAAAUAUUAAUUUCGAGUCGAAGAAAAGAUAAAGAGUUUUAGAAAUAUAAAAACAAAAUUUUAUUAUAAAUUUUUAGAAGGGAGUACCGUACGGGACCUAACACCCACUUUGAAAAAGACAUCUUAAUCACGGAACUUUUAUCAUUAAACCUCUUCUUAUUAUUAGCCAUAAUUAGAAUCUCCUUUAAAAUCUAUAUCUAUCUAUUUCCUUUUCUUUUCUACGGCGAGCUUAAGAUAAAAAUUAAAUUUUCAGACAUAAACUUAUCCAUCCCCGUUAAGCUAGGCUUUAACAGAGAGAGAUUUCGCCUAGAAAUCCCUUUCGACUUAAGUUUUUAGUAUAGUGAAUAGUAUCUCGCUAAUUAUAAUUAGUGUGAACAGUGUCACGUGAAUAGUGCUCGGUGAAUAGUGCCACGUGAACAGUACCCUAACGUAAAUACGUGAAUAGUACCUUAUGAACAGUACCAUAUUAAAAAAAAAAAAAAAACCUCUUACGUAGCACCCACCUUUAAUUACUAUUCCUUAAUUAAGCACCCUUUCUUUUUCUUCCAAAAAAAUUCCAGAAAAAAUUUCAAAAAAUUCGUCUUCUCCUGAUUCCCAACUUUAGAUCUUUUCUCUAUUUUCUGUGUUUCAGUGCUCUUCUUUCGCUCUUUAUUAAAUAUUAGUUUAAUAUUACAAUUUCAUAUUACAUAGUCUGAUCCAACCUCCUCCCACUCACGCUUUAGAUUCUUGUCUUUCAUCUUUCUCAAAAAAUCAAAAAAUAUUUUUCGCUGUUGUAGGGUAAUUUGCUUCUUUCAAAGGUUUGUCCAGCACUCUGAAAAAAUCAAAAAAUAUUUUCCAACCUUUGUAUAAAAAUAUCUUUUCUUUAGGGUUUUUCCUGCUUUUAGGGUAUUUCUCCCUUUAGGUUUAUCACUUUAGGUUUUUCUAAAAUCAGAAAAUCCAAAAAUAUUUUCUGUUUUCGUUUGUGUUUAAAAGCUUUCUAGUUUUUACUAUUUUCUUUAAAUUUACAGAAAACCCAAAAAUAUUUUCUAAGACUUUGCUCCCCGCUUCCCUCUUCAAACCUUCUCACCUCAUCUUCGUAGCAUCCAAAACCCUAGCCCAUUUAGAAAAAUCCAACCAACAGAGAUUGUUCCCAUCCAGCCAACCACAAGCACCCAAUCACCCACUUUCAUUAAACCCUAAACCCUCUCUCUCGUGUUCAGCUCGUUGACAGCCCUAAGUGCCACUAGUGCUUGAACUAUAUUUAAUUUUGGCCACUAAUACUUUGGUGCUUGAAAUUUUAAAUUUAGCAUUUGACAUCCAAAAUUCCAAAAUUAUAUCACAUUUGCCAUAUCCUUAUUUACUCCUACACCUGAUUGUAAUGGAUUUAGGUUUUCUUUCUGCAAUGACCAUGCGGUAUUCCCCUUUCUUCUCAAAGAUGGACAAGCUUUGUCCUGUAUUAAUUUGUAAACUUGGGUCUACUAAUAAGCGCCUCAUUACAACAGAAUUAGAUUAUAGGGACACAUGUUUGGGACACUUUUGAGUAAGUGUCCCAUUUAUGCUAAAACUUAAAAAAAACAUCUACUAAUGUCUAAAUAUAAAGUCCAAUCCAAUCAAGAAUAAAAGAUUACUCUACUCAACCUACCACACCCAGUCCAUUUGGCCCGAUUACAAACAGAAAAGAAAAAAAAAAGAAAAAUCAAUUACCAUCUUUUUUUCUCUCUUCACUCAAUCCACUGAAAUUCUAGACGAAGAGCCUUUUCUGUCGUCCUCCUCCGCCACGGCAGCCAACGAGAUAAAGUUUCGGCGGUUGCUAAAUGCUUAAAUAAGUGUUGGUAAAUUAGCAGCACUCUUUUAGGUUAUAACGACACUAUUUAACUGUCACUAUAUACCUAGCGACUCCACAUAUAGCAACACUUUUUAAAAGUGUCGGUAAUUUUAGCUAGCAUCACCUUUUUGACAUGUACCUACAUUUAAAAGUGUCGCUAUAGACCGUUUUUGUUGUAAAAAUAGAGAGAACUUUUGAUGAAAUUAGAGAUAUCUAUAUCUAUAUCUAUACAUUAUUCCUCAUAGCUUUGCCAUAUGACAAUUUCUCCUUCAUCCUUGUCUUCUCCCUCCUUUUCACUUCUUGGUGCUUCACCUUCCCAUCUCCCAUCUCCGUCUGAUAUUUUGUCUUCUCACUUACUUACUUUCUAAUUAAUGCAUGCAUAUGGUCAAUUGUUAUAUGAACAAAUCACUUCCACAAAAAAAAAAAAUGAGUAAAAUAAGAUCUCUUCUUACUUUUGUUUCUCAUACUAUUUAUAUUUAUUAAUGUCUCAUUGCAACUCAAAAAUUUUAAAAUUGUUAGUUUAUCAAUCUUUUGUCUUUUUUAUAGUAUUAGCCCGCUGCAAUGCAUAGGUAACUUCAUUAGUAUUCCACUAUUUUUGCAUUAUUUGGAGAGAGAAUAUUACAGCUGACUUGGGCUAUAGUAUGGCUUGAGGCUUUUUAUUUGUUCUGUGAGCCUCAAACCUCGAGGAAGUCUACUAUAUAACACUUACACUACAUUAUCUAUUCCCAACCAAUCACAUAUCUUCAUUUGAGAGAAAAGGAUAAUAAAAAUAUUUUUUUUAAAAUUAUAAUGGGAUGGAUGAACCCCAGUAGAGUUUCUGUAUUAGUUUGGAAUAUCAUGUCAACAAUAUAAAUAUUGCAUUAAACCGCCCACUAAGUAUACUAACUGCGGGUAGCAUGACGCUUAUAUGUAGACUAUAAAGAAAAGGGAAGCAAAUAUCUACUAACUUUUUUUUUUUUUUCGAGGGAAUAAAGUCGGUAGAUAAUUCAUUAAAAAGUAGAGUUUGAUUGUUUUGGAAAAGCAAGUAAAAUUACAUUCUCACAAAAAAAAAAAAAAAAAAAAAAAAAAAAAAAAAAAAAAAAACCCAUAAAAAANAAAAAAAAGAAAAAAAAAAAGGGAAAAAAAAUAUCCCCAAAACUAAAUGAAAAAAAUAAAAAUGACGGUACACAAACCUAAGAAACGAAAAGGAGAAGAUAUAUGUAUAUCGGCCCCCCAAAAUCUACACAUCUAACUAAAAAAAGUAAAUCAAGUUUCUAAACUAGAAGCCCGAGAUAAAAAUGAAAAACAAAAUAAGAAAAAAUAUGAAUAAAAAAAGCAAUCAAAAGGAGUUGUUUAUGCCUUCGAAAGCAGUACAGCUCUUUUAUAACACAAUCUCUCAGAGAUCUGAGAGUAUCAGCAAAUCCUACACAUGUAGAAUGGUUUAUAGAGUUACAAAACACCAAUCCCAUCUGUCAACCAAAAUUCUCAUGGGCUGAAAAUCAAUACCAAAGUCUCAAAGCAAUCUAAAAGUAGCAAUUAUCUAACAAUAGCGAAUUUCUGAUCAGCGAAAUGUUUUUCAAGAUUCGGAAUUCUCAUAUUCCGACAUGAAUUCUUCUAAAGGUUCGCUAAAGGUUCGCUCCGUAAAGACGCGUGCCCACAUAUUCUAGGUACGUUUAAGAGCUGUAACAGAAGCUCAUGGUUACAAAAACAGGAAUUUUAUUCAUCCGACUCAUUUGGAAAACAUAAAUGGGCAGAGUAAUGCUCUGCUUUCCAACAGCCCGAAUAACUCUACACACAGUAAACUCUGAUACAACAAGUCAGGGCAAUUGUGUCUUUACCUUCAUUAUACAACACCAGGAGACAGGGAAUGGAUAAAGGAAAAGGAAAAAAACCAAAAAGAGAAGAACCUCAUACAGCUACAGGGACAGCUUCAUCCAGUGCAACAACACCUGGAAGCUCCUUCCCUUCCAAUAGCUCCAAGCUGGCUCCUCCACCUGUCGAUAUGUGGCUCAUUACAUCGGCCACGCCCACUUUCUCAACAGCAGCGACGGAAUCUCCACCUCCGAUGAUCGUUGUAACUCCUUUCCCGCUAAGCUCCGCCAACUUCUUUGCAAUUGCCUAUGAAAGAAAACACGAGUCAAGCCUCAUUUGGCGUUGAAACUGUAGUGCGACAUGGAAAUUAGUAGCUAAACAAGGUGCUGUUCGAUUACCUCGGUUCCAACCGCAAACUUAUCGAAUUCGAAAACCCCCAUAGGUCCGUUCCAGAUAACAGUUUUGGUCGUUUCAAGAGCAUCACUGAAGGUCUUAAUAGAAUCUGGUCCAAUAUCUAAGCCCAUCCAACCGUCGGGGAUUGCGGAGGCUGGCACAACCUACAUAAUCAAAUUGACAGUUAAUCAAGAGCAUUCCAACUACAUACUAGGAACUUCAUUAGAUCUUAAUGACUGAAUAAAUAAAGCAUAAAUAGCAUACCUUGCUUUCUGCAUCGGGGGCAAACUUGUCGGCAAUGACAACGUCAGUCGGCAACAAAAGGGAGACCCCCUUCUCUUUUGCCUUUGCGAGAAGUGAUGUUGCAAGAUCGAGUUUGUCAUUCUCUACCAAGGAAGAACCCACUGAAAGCCCUUGUGCCUUGUAGAAGGUGAAUAUCAUACCGCCACCCAAAAGAAGAAUAUCGACUUUCUCCAACAGCGAUUCGAUGACUCCAAUCUUAGAUGACACCUUUGAACCACCUACUAUGGCAGCGAAUGGGCGCUUGGGGUUUGAAACAGCUCCAACGAGGUAAUCAAGUUCCUGCAAAUUUAUAACAAGCCGUUUAACCGAAGUUAAGACACAAAAUAAAGAAAGAAGAAAGAGAGAGAUGUUGCAUAUCAUACAAGCCUCCUGCUUAAACUUGAGUUAGGUUAUGACAACAAAAAUAUUUAAUAGUAGGACAGGGACCUUUUGCAAGAGGAAACCAGCAACAGAGGGCUUCAAGAACUUUGUGACACCCUCUGUUGAUGCAUGUGCUCUAUGUGCAGUUCCAAAUGCAUCAUUCACGUAAAGGUCUGCAAGGGACGCAAGCUUCUUUGCAAACUCUGGAUCGUUCUUCUCCUCCUCCUUAUAAAACCUUACAUUCUCAAGAAGUAACACACCACCCUCUGGGAGCUCGGAGACCAAUUUCUCAACUUCCGGACCGAUACAGUCAUCGGCUUUCUCAACCUGUUUGAUGUGCAUCAAGGAAUCCACGAAUACACAUAAAUGUUAAUAACUAGAGAACGCAAAACUCUAGAAGAGAAAAUUUAAAUGAAAAGACAAUAAUACCUUUAUGCCAAGGAGUUCAGAUAACCUUGGCACAAGAGGACUUAAGCUAUAUUUGGGUGUGACACCCUUUGGGCGCCCCUGUAUACAUUGAAGAGAAAAAAAAAAACAUGCAUUGAAAGUUAGAUAUAUAGUUAUUUGCAGCAAAUAUUUAAAAAAAAAAAAGAUAAAAAGGAUACAUAAAUAUCUUUAGCUCAAGAAACAUGAUUUAUGAGAGGAAAAAUUAUGUAAAAAAUACACUAUUAUCCUCCUAUAAUUACUAUGCAUGAUCAAUGCAAAAUGAUGAGUUGCAACAUCACAACAUGGAAGGACGUUACUUGUUAGUAGGUUAAGCAUUGGCAAGUUUUCCAAGUAGUUCGAACGGUAAACCUCAGUUACACUCCUUCCAAAGAUAAAGAAGUCGAGUUCAAUGAUGCAACUUUUUGAAAAUGAUCUACUGGUAGUUUUAAAUAUGAUCUACCAGUUCAUAUUCAAGCCAAUUAACUGACCAUAAAGUAUGACUGAACAGACUACAACUAAUCAAGCUUAAUUAGAAUAAAUUCCACUUCUUAUAGACCAAUAUGCAAAGAAACACCACAUAUCCACUAGCCAACCUAUUGUACUUGACUGUUGGUCAAGUAUUCUCCUUAUCCUCUUAGUUCUUUUGCAGAAAACCUCCACAGUCAGCCACUCAACGUAUCUUGCAGCACUUUUUGCAUUUUCUUAUAUUCCCUUUACCAAUUCACAGUCGGCUAAGCCACUAAGCCAUAGAAAAUAUGGAGCCUUAGCUAUUUGAUUUCUACUGCAACAGCGUAGGUUAUACAUAUCCUGAUGAAAUUUUCAUUUUCAUUUUCCUUAGACAUUUUAGUCGGUAAGAUUUCAUGUACCCAAUUCAAAAAAAUUUCGAAAGUAUGAUUAGGUUAGUCAGUAAAAUCAAAUUUCUCGAAGUUCAGGUACCAAUUUCGAAAUUCAAAAUGCGACAGUUCAACUACGAUGCAUAAUAUAUUUUUUUUGGCUAACAUGUAUAAAAGUUAUCUAAACUACUGUCCAACCUUUAAAGUUUUGAUGGUGGUACCCAACCUUUGAUUUAAGCCAUUUAAUAGCUCUUUAAGUAUAAAAUAAAGGCUCAUCAAUUGGUUUUUAAUGGAAUUCUAGUCGCAUGAAGCAUGCUGAUUAUGCCCGUAAAAAUAAUCAUCGCAUUCAAAUUUCAAAGUGAAAUAGUCAUUAAAUGGCUUGAAUCAAAUAUAUUCAAAAUCAGAAUAUCAGUCAUAAUUCUAGUUCAGAUAAGGUCUAUACAUUUGUACAUUUUUUUGGUAAAAAAAAAAAAAGUAUAAACUUACCUGAAAACAUGUCCGUUUUGGAUCUUUUGAUUGAACUAUCCAGCAUUUUAAAAUUUUAAUUUUGGUACCCAAACUUUCAAAUUUACUUUACUAGCAAUUUGAUGAUUAUUCCGGUACAAAAUUUAGACUGAUUACUUACUUUUAUAAAAUUUCAGUUGCAUGAAUUACACGAAAUUUUGGUAAUCAAGCCCGUAAAAACAAACACUGUUUUCAAAUUUUGAAAUGUAAGAAUCACUAUAGAUGAUAUCAAAUCAAAGAGAAUAAAUGGUUAAAUAAAAAAAUCUAAAAUUCUCAAAGGACGAAUGGUCAGAUCAAAAUCAAAUCAGUCAUAGUUCAGAAGCAGAAGUGAUAAAGAAAAAAAUCUAUUUUGUAACAUUUACAUCACACAAUCUCUCCUUAGUCAAUCAUAUUUUUUUACUUGUAGAUGGAUGAAUUCCGAAAAACCUAGAACUUUUCGAUGGAUGAAUUCCGAAAAUCCUUAGUCAAUCUAAAAUCUCUCCUUAGUGGGAUGGAUGAAUUCCGAAAAACCUUUCAAUUAGUUGGUGAUAGCACAUCAUCAGCAAUAUUUAUAUUGCAUUCUAGAACUUUUCGUGUUGCAGUGGGAAGUCGGACUUCGAGUAACUAGUGAAUAUAACGAUUCAGAAUUCGUUCCCCAUCCCACCGAAGUCGAGAGGCCAAUCUCCGUGAGCGAGUGAGUGAGAGUUUAGACAAUCUCACAAUUUCGGUGCUGAAACAAACACCAGGGAAUGCUAAUUUCACGAAGUCGCGAGUUCAGCGUCUGAGAUCCACGAGAACGGAGAGGAAGAGGAGAAGCAAGAAGAAGGAGGAGGAGGAGGAGGAGGAGGAGCGGACCAGGUGGCUGGCGAGGAUGACUUUGGCGCCAUUGCUGAUGAGGUGCUUGAUGGUGGGCACGGCCGCGCGGAUCCGGGUGUCGUCGGUGAUGUUCAGGGCGUCGUCCAAGGGCACGUUGAGAUCGACCCUCACGAACACCUUCUUCCCCCUCAGAUCCGCCUCCUUCAGAUCCCCCACGCUCUUCUUCGCCGCCAUUGAUGGNGCCAUGGACGUAGAGAGAGAGAGAGAGAGAGAAGGGUGGUUCUGUGAGUUGGGAGGGGCGAUUUAGAGGAGGAGGAGGAGGAGGUGGACUUAAGAGAGUGAGGGGAGGGGUGGGUGUAAUAAGAGAGAGGGGAUUUUGUGGCGGAGAGGGGGAUCGGGGGAUGAUACUUUUUCUUAUCGUCGGGGAGAGGUGGAGAAGAGGGUGUUGGAGGAGGGGCUUCGAUGUUUCCGCUGCGAUUCGUGGUUUCUUCUGACUUACAUUGUACAAGCCGGGGUGCGGCGAUCGCGAUUGCGAUUGCGAUUGCGAUUGCGAAUGCGUGAUUCGCGAUUAAGG